GCAUAUCAAUAAGCGGAGGAAAAGAAACCAACAGGGAUUGCCCUAGUAACGGCGAGUGAAGCGGCAACAGCUCAAAUUUGAAAUCUGGCGCAAGCCCGAGUUGUAAUUUGUAGAGGAUGUUUCUGGCGACGUGCCUUCCGAGUUCCCUGGAACGGGACGCCAUAGAGGGUGAGAGCCCCGUACGGUUGGAUGCCUAGCCUCUGUGAAACUCCUUCGACGAGUCGAGUAGUUUGGGAAUGCUGCUCUAAAUGGGAGGUAUACGUCUUCUAAAGCUAAAUACCGGCCAGAGACCGAUAGCGCACAAGUAGAGUGAUCGAAAGAUGAAAAGCACUUUGAAAAGAGGGUUAAAAAGUACGUGAAAUUGUUGAAAGGGAAGCGUUCAUGACCAGACUUGGGCAGGUUGAUCAUCCGUGGUUCUCCGCGGUGCACUCUGCCUGCCCAGGCCAGCAUCAGUUCGCCCCGGGGGAUAAAGGUUUUGGGAAUGUGGCUCCCUCGGGAGUGUUAUAGCCCACUGCGUAAUACCCUGGGGUGGACUGAGGUUCGCGCUCUGCAAGGAUGCUGGCGUAAUGGUCAUCAACGACCCGUCUUGAAACACGGACC
Molecule: ribosomal RNA, 600 nt
Filed under: Clonostachys sp. JCM 28522
Lineage: Eukaryota; Fungi; Ascomycota; Sordariomycetes; Hypocreales; Bionectriaceae
Description: eukaryotic LSU rRNA
Rfam family: Eukaryotic large subunit ribosomal RNA
Source: RNAcentral